GACGAACGCUGGCGGCGUGCCUAACACAUGCAAGUCGAACGAAGCACUUUUUCUUGAUUCUUCGGAUGAAGGAGAUAGUGACUGAGUGGCGGACGGGUGAGUAACGCGUGGGUAACCUGCCUCAUACAGGGGGAUAACAGUUAGAAAUGACUGCUAAUACCGCAUAAGCGCACAGUAUCGCAUGGUACAGUGUGAAAAACUCCGGUGGUAUGAGAUGGACCCGCGUCUGAUUAGCUAGUUGGUGAGGUAACGGCUCACCAUGGCGACGAUGUCUAGGGGAACUGAGAGGUUUAUCCCCACACUGGUACUGAGACACGGACCAGACUCCUACGGGAGGCAGCAGUGGGGAAUAUUGGGCAAUGGGGGAAACCCUGACCCAGCAACGCCGCGUGAAGGAAGAAGGCCUUCGGGUUGUAAACGUUCUUUACCUAGGACGAAGAACGUGACGGUACCUGGAGAAAAAGCAACGGCUAACUACGUG
This 481-nucleotide ribosomal RNA is filed under the name uncultured bacterium. Its description in RNAcentral is "bacterial SSU rRNA". It matches the Rfam family "Bacterial small subunit ribosomal RNA", at positions 28 to 507 of the family's 1533-position model. The record is from RNAcentral.